Molecule: ribosomal RNA, 272 nt
Filed under: uncultured bacterium
Lineage: Bacteria
Description: partial 16S ribosomal RNA
Rfam family: Bacterial small subunit ribosomal RNA
Source: RNAcentral
GACGAACGCUGGCGGCGUGCUUAACACAUGCAAGUCGAGCGGUAAGGCCCUCGGGUACGACGAGCGGCGAACGGGUGAGUAACACGUGGGUGACCUGCCUCUAGCUCUGGGAUAAGCCUGGGAAACUGGGUCGUAAUAACCGGAUAUGACUCCACGGCGCAUGUUGUGGGUGGAAAGCCUUGUGUGGCUAGAGAUGGGCCCGCGGCCUAUCAGCUUGUUGGUGGGGUGAUGGCCUACCAAGGCGACGACGGGUAGCCGGCCUGAGAGGGCGA